This 492-nucleotide ribosomal RNA is filed under the name uncultured bacterium. Its description in RNAcentral is "partial 16S ribosomal RNA". It matches the Rfam family "Bacterial small subunit ribosomal RNA", at positions 29 to 507 of the family's 1533-position model. The record is from RNAcentral.
AGUGAACGCUGGCGGUAGGCCUAACACAUGCAAGUCGAACGGCAGCACAGUAAGAGCUUGCUCUUACGGGUGGCGAGUGGCGGACGGGUGAGGAAUACAUCGGAAUCUACUUUUUCGUGGGGGAUAACGUAGGGAAACUUACGCUAAUACCGCAUACGACCUACGGGUGAAAGCAGGGGAUCUUCGGGCCUUGCGCGAUUGAAUGAGCCGAUGUCGGAUUAGCUAGUUGGCGGGGUAAAGGCCCACCAAGGCGACGAUCCGUAGCUGGUCUGAGAGGAUGAUAAGCCACACUGGAACUGAGACACGGUCCAGACUCCUACGGGAGGAAGCAGUGGGGAAUAUUGGACAAUGGGCGAAAGCCUGAUCCAGCCAUACCGCGUGGGUGAAGAAGGCCUUCGGGUUGUAAAGCCCUUUUGUUGGGAAAGAAAAGCAGCAGGUUAAUACCCCGCUGUUCUGACGGUACCAAAAGAAUAAGCACCGGCUAACUUCGUG